RNAcentral lists this ribosomal RNA (415 nucleotides) under Candidatus Williamhamiltonella defendens. RNAcentral's name for it is "bacterial SSU rRNA". It matches the Rfam family "Bacterial small subunit ribosomal RNA", at positions 65 to 468 of the family's 1533-position model. The record is from RNAcentral. Lineage: Bacteria; Pseudomonadati; Pseudomonadota; Gammaproteobacteria; Enterobacterales; Enterobacteriaceae.
AGCGGCAUCGAGUGAGCGCAGUUUACUGAGUUCAUGUCGGCGAGCGGCGGACGGGUGAGUAAAGUCUGGGAAUCUGGCCGAAGGAGGGGGAUAACUGCUGGAAACGGCAGCUAAUACCGCAUGAAGUCGCGAGACCAAAGUGGGGGACCUUCGGGCCUCACGCCUUCGGAUGAGCCCAGAUGAGAUUAGCUGGUAGGUAAGGUAAAGGCUUACCUAGGCGACGAUCUCUAGCGGGUCUGAGAGGAUAGCCCGCCACACUGGAACUGAGACACGGUCCAGACUCCUACGGGAGGCAGCAGUGGGGAAUAUUGCACAAUGGGCGAAAGCCUGAUGCAGCCAUGCCACGUGUGUGAAGAAGGCCUUCGGGUUGUAAAGCACUUUCAGCGAGGAGGAAGCGAUAAAUGCCAAUACCAUU